AGUUGCGCCUGGCGCAACUUCGAAUCUUAGUGAAUUUGCCCCACAGCGUUUGCUUUAGUUACCAAAUCCCAGAAUGAAAACUUUGUAGUCCUGGGCUGCCAAGUGUAUUUUGAAAUAUAAAAACCCGCAUUUUGUUGGGCACUUAUUUCCUUUGGGCAGAUAUUAAACACUAAACAGGCAAAUGGAGCUUUGCUUUACAUAGAAAACCCUUUUCUCUGUCUUCGCAUAGGAGCAAUUUGUUUUUAUUCAUCAGUGUGUGCAGCUGAUGUGGAAAAAGAGGCAGCAGUUCCGCAUUAGUGAUGUUAUUUAUGAAAAUGUCAGCAAGUCAUAAGGUUCAUCUUCUGUGAAAAUCAUAUUCACGGACUUCAGAAUCUUAACUAUGGCCAUUUCUACACCAACACUGUCCGCUGACUGUGGCUUUCUGAAUCUGAGUUGGUGGAGAAGCCAAGGGAAGGCUUUGCCUUAAAGAACCUCGUAUAUCUUUUGGACUCAAAGAUGUGAGAAGCUGUACAGAUUUUGGAUGACCAGAUCUGAUAAAGAAAUACAAGAAUACCUGGCUUACUGGUCUGAUGAGGAUGAGCUUGAUGGAGUAAACCAAAUUAUUGUAGAAGGAAGAAAGAGUAAGGACAAAAGAGAAAGAGUUCUGAAAUAUAUUCGGAAUUUGAAAUGAUUUAGUAAAAUAAAGUUUUAUUUUACAAUAAAUAAAAUAUUAGUUUCUAA
Molecule: long non-coding RNA, 720 nt
Organism: Xenopus laevis (African clawed frog)
Lineage: Eukaryota; Metazoa; Chordata; Amphibia; Anura; Pipidae
Exons: 2
Source: RefSeq, a predicted model, not a curated record